GUCAAUAGCCUAACGGCUGAACCAGCAACUUGGAGGAAUGUAUAGCGAAAGCUAAUUGUAUAUUUAGUAUGUAUAAUAUUGACUAUGUCAACUAAAGUUCAAGGUAAAAAAAUGAUGAUGACAUUUUUAUCUGUGUGUCUUGACUAAAUCACGUGCCAGCAGUCGCGGUAAUACGUGGAAGACUAGUGUUAUUCAUCUUUAAUAGGUUUAAAGGGUACCUAGACGGUAUAUCUAGCCCCAAAAGGGAACUGGUAAACUAGAGUUUUAUGUGAGAGGGGGAGUACCUUUGUAGAAGAGAUGAAAUUCUGUCAUAACGGAGGAAGACUGGUAAAGGCGAAAGCAACCUUUUAUGCAAAAACUGACGUA
This 366-nucleotide ribosomal RNA is filed under the name Ropalospora chlorantha. RNAcentral's name for it is "SSU rRNA". It matches the Rfam family "Bacterial small subunit ribosomal RNA", at positions 367 to 747 of the family's 1533-position model. The record is from RNAcentral. Lineage: Eukaryota; Fungi; Ascomycota; Lecanoromycetes; Umbilicariales; Ropalosporaceae.